RNAcentral lists this transfer RNA (62 nucleotides) under Anaeramoeba flamelloides. RNAcentral's name for it is "tRNA-OTHER". It matches the Rfam family "tRNA". From Rfam's summary of the family: Transfer RNA (tRNA) molecules are approximately 80 nucleotides in length. Their secondary structure includes four short double-helical elements and three loops (D, anti-codon, and T loops). Lineage: Eukaryota; Anaeramoebidae. The record is from RNAcentral.
GCACUCUUAGCUCAGCCUGUAGAGCAUUUCAAAAAUCCUGGGUUCGAAUCCCAGAUUGGGCA